Molecule: transfer RNA, 57 nt
Filed under: Bos taurus (domestic cattle)
Lineage: Eukaryota; Metazoa; Chordata; Mammalia; Artiodactyla; Bovidae
Also listed under: 1 other name
Rfam family: tRNA
About the family: Transfer RNA (tRNA) molecules are approximately 80 nucleotides in length.
Source: Rfam by way of RNAcentral
UGGCUUAGACGGUAAAGCAUCUGCCUGCAAUGCGGGAGACCCAGGUUUGAUUCCUGG